UUUUUAUUUCCAGAAAGUUUUAUAAUGAGACAAUUUGGAAAAGCUAGGGGAGGUUACAGAGCAGGAAAUGGAAUCCUUCCAUGAAGGCAAGAACCAAGUCAACACUGGGAUGAGUGAAGAGGAUGGAUGUAGCUGUUUGUUAGUAAACAGGAGUCCUACCACUUAACUCAUCAAGAUCUAGAGUUUUAGUGUCACCUAGUCAACCAGGAAGAUUUGGGGUUUGGUUAUCAACUUCUCGAUGGAAAAAAUGUAAAUGUCCAUCAGUAGAGGAAAGGACGAACCCAAUAAUUUAUGCUUCAUCCAUUGAAUCAAAAGGAGAGAUCUCCAAGACAUUAUGUGGUCAAUGGAAACAGAGAAAGGUUCUGAAUAAAACUAGAAGAGGAAAAUUACAGCUUGACUUGGGAAUUAGAAAAGGGAAAAGCUUGUGGCAUGCAAAAUGGUAUUCUUCGUGGAACUUAGGAAAUAGUUUUUCACCAGACACUUCCAACUGAACAUCUA
Long non-coding RNA from Hyaena hyaena (striped hyena), 498 nucleotides. RefSeq lists it as uncharacterized. NCBI's taxonomy places the organism in Eukaryota, Metazoa, Chordata, Mammalia, Carnivora, Hyaenidae. The record is from RefSeq and is a predicted model, not a curated record. The transcript has 3 exons.